GGUACAGAACUGUGAUCUCGGACAAUAUUUUUGUCAACAUCGGGGGGUUGUAGUGACUUUACCGGAGAGUAUUUGCACUCGAAAUGGCAAAGAUGAAUGUUGAAUAAUCGGACAUAGUGCGAUAAGGUUGUAUGUCUAAAGGGAAACAGCCCAGAACAAGAGUUAAGGUUCCAAAAUUAUCAUUGAGUGAAAUUAAGGAUGUUUUUUUUUAAUACAAUCAGGAAAUAGGCUUAGAAGCGGCCAUUUUUUGAAGACCUCGUAACAGAGCACUGAUUAAAGAAAAAAACACCGAAAAUUUAACGGAUCUAAAUGAUAUACCGAAACCUUGUACACAUAUGUAUAAUAAUAAAAUAUUGUCUAUGUGGGGUAGCGGAACAUUGGAUAAAUAUUCAUUAUUAUUUCUUUUUAAGAAAUAAUAAGUAUGGAUAAUAAUUAAUAAUAUUUAAAACUUAAUGUUUUAAGGAUAUUUAUAUAAUAUCGAAAAUAUGAUUUAUAUAAAUAUAUAGGAUGUAUAAUAUAUGUCUUUAUUAUUAAAAUUCUCCAUCAAUAUAAUCCAAGAGAGAAUGCUGACAUGAGUAACGAAAAAGGAAUAUCCUCGCCUUAAGCUUAUGGUAUUAUAUUUAAUUUUCGGUAUCUAAAAAUAUUAAUCAAAAGGUAAUUUUGAUGAUAUUUAUAUAUAAAUACUUAAAAGUUAAAAACAAAACCUUUANCAAGUAAUAAAGGUUCUGGAAAAUUUUUANCUUUAAUAAAAAAUUAUUAACUUAGCCUUAUGAAUAAAUCUAAAUAUGUUAUAUUGUAUUUUAUAAUAUAACUUGUUAAAGUUUUGCAAGANUGUAUUGUAAAAAAACAAUAUAAUAGAGUUUUAUAAAAAAGUUAAUAAUGGAGGGAUAUAUUUAUAUUGUUGUAUAAAUAUUAAGGCUAAUAUUCAAUAAAUAUAAGUAUAAUAAGGUUUAUAUAUACCGUACCUAGAUAGCAAUCACAAGUAAGCA
Molecule: ribosomal RNA, 989 nt
Filed under: Aspergillus ruber
Lineage: Eukaryota; Fungi; Ascomycota; Eurotiomycetes; Eurotiales; Aspergillaceae
Description: partial large subunit ribosomal RNA
Rfam family: Bacterial large subunit ribosomal RNA (bases 1-374)
Source: RNAcentral